Long non-coding RNA from Homo sapiens (human), 2539 nucleotides. Ensembl annotates it as lymphatic endothelial transcriptional regulator lncRNA 1. Its record names the gene LETR1. Lineage: Eukaryota; Metazoa; Chordata; Mammalia; Primates; Hominidae. The record is from Ensembl.
GCUGGGCACGGAGCGGCGCGCGCGCGCCCGUCUUUCCCUCGGCGGCCCCCGCGGCUCGGACCCGGGCCGGCAGACAGGCCAUCCAUCAUCCGCCCUCCUCCCGCGGAGCGCCGCAGCCGCCGCGGCCAAUCCGGCGGCAGGUGGGGCCGCACCUGCGCGACAGCCCGCCGCUUCCCUCCGCUCCCUUCGCCGCGCCUCGCGUGCUAGCGGUGCCCUUGUGAGCCACUGCGUUCUCCAAGGCCAGAACGGGACAGUUGACGAUGGUCGUACUUCUCCAUGUUCUGAGACCAGUUUAAACAAAAACAAAAACCAGACAACAACCUUGCAAGGGAAAGAAUUCAGAGUAAAUAAACAGUCUUUUUCUGGGAAGUAAAAUAUUUCCCUAAGAUGGAGAAAUUGAGAUGAGAGCUCAUCCACAAGAUUACCCAUCAAUGAGCACCAAUAGCAACCAAAUCCACUAGAAGACUGGGAGCUUUUAAGUCAAGAAACUUACAUCAGUAUCAUCAUUCCAAGAAGCGGUAUCCAAGCUGUUUUAUCGAAAGUGCGCAUGGGAGGUUUGAACUCAGUGCUGUUGUGCAGUUGUAUGAACAAGGAAAUUAAAUGUGAAAAAUGGCCAAUCUGUCUAUCCUCUGGGUUCCCUCAACAACGCGGCCUCAUGAAGUACCUGCUGCCAUAUUGACCUCAGUACACACACAGAAGAGCCAAGGGAAUUGCUUCUUUGGGGACUGGAGAUAAGACUCUGAGAAUUUAUAGAAACAAACAUUAGAAGGCAGGAAUGUGGAGAGAAGAAAGCUACCUGACAAGGGAAUCUCAGGAUACAAGGAAAACACCAAGGAAUGUAAAUCUCUGUUUACCACAAGCCCUCUGUCUCCACAAGUUCUGUGUCCAGAACUGAAGGCAGAUCCAAAUACAAUAUUCAUGGGAUGCAAAUUCCCAUGUAUGCCAAGAGAUAACUGCUUUAUUGGAGGCCUAGUGGGGAACUGAAACUCCCACUCCUGCUUAGCAGGAAUGAGAAGCCCCCUUUCAGAGGUCAACAGAAGCUGAGUUAAGAAACCUGAACUUUUACCCUACCUGGCAGUAAUGAAGCGACACCCACCUUCGUCUGUGAGGAUGGUGUGAGAUGAAGGUAGCUAAAACAAAAGGUUUAAAUAAGAUUCAGAGUCUCAUCAUAUUGAAAUGUCCAUAUUUCAGUGGAAAAUUACUCAUCAUACAAAAACAAGAAAGAACUAAAACUAAGUGAGAAAAGAUAAUAAAUAUAUGCCAACAUCAAGAUGACACAAAUGUUAGAAUUAUCUGGCAAAGCUUGUAAAGCAGCCAUCAUAAAAAUACUCCAAUGAACAAUUAAAACAUUCUUGUAGCUAAUGAAAAUUUAUUUGGAAAGCUUCAACAAAGAAAUAGGAAGUCAUAACCAAAAAUAGAAGAUAAAAGAGUCAAAUGGAAAAUUUUGAACUGAAGAAUACAAUAACCAAUAUAAAAAACUCAAUGCAUGGGCAGAAUGGAGGAGACAGAGGAAAUAUUGGUGAACUGGAGGAAACAAUAUAAAUUGACCAUCUAUACAACAGAGAGAAGAUAGAGUGAAAAAAAGAUGAAAGGAACCUCAAAGACCUUCGAGAUUAUAGCAAAAAAAACCAAAAUAAAACAAAACCAAAAACCAACAAACAGACAGACAAAAAAUUAACCUUUGCAUUCCCUGAGUCCUAGAAGACCGGAAGAUGGCAGACCUGAAAAACAUUCUAAGAAAUAAUGGCUGAAAUGUGUUUAAAUUUAGCCAAAGACAUAAAUAUACAGAUUUAAGAAACUGAGUGAAUCCCAAAUAGGAUAAACUCACAGAAAUUCAUAGCAAGACACUCAUAGUCAAACUUUUGAGAACUGAAGACAAAAAAGAAAAACAAAAAGUCAAUCCAGAUGUCCUUCAAGGGGAAGAUGAUUAAACCAACCGUGAUACAUGCAUGCUAAUAGAAAAAAAACUACUGAUGCCUGGAACCACCUGGAUGAAUCUCUAAAGAAUUAUGGAGAGUGACAAAAAUAAUUUUAAAAUGUUACAUAGUAUAUUGUUUUAUUUAUAUAACAACAUGAUUGAAAUAACAAGAUCAUAGAAAUGGAGACUCAUUAGGGGUUAAGGAGGGGGAAGGAUAAGAAGGAAGAGGGAGUGGCCAUAAAAGGCAGCACGAAGUAUCCCUGUGCCGAUAGAAAUAUUUCUUAUCUUGACAGUAGCAAUGUCAAUAUCCUGUUUGUUACACUACAGUUUUGCAAGAUGUUAGCAUUGGAAGGAACUGGGUAAAAGAUCACUCUGCGUUCUCUCUUACAACUGCAAAUAAAUCCACAAUUAUCCUAAAAUAGAAAGUUUAAUUUACAAAAACAUUUCUGCAAGCCUUGUAACUCAGUGGCUACAUAACUCUGGACUUAGACCCAAAGAAUUUUGACUGUCACUUUAAUCUCAUGUAACCCUGGACAAGUAUUCAGCCAGUCUGAGCCUACUUUCUUGUCAGUUAAAUGGGCAUAAUGAUAGCUACCCUACUUAUUAAUAUUUCACCAACUG